Helianthus annuus (common sunflower) is the source of this 1117-nucleotide long non-coding RNA. RefSeq lists it as uncharacterized. The transcript is spliced from 2 exons. The record is from RefSeq and is a predicted model, not a curated record. NCBI's taxonomy places the organism in Eukaryota, Viridiplantae, Streptophyta, Magnoliopsida, Asterales, Asteraceae.
CGUUGAUUGCAGUCGUCGUCCCUUUGUAUUCUUCACCAUUCACAUUCUAACCUUCGUAUUUCACUCCUUCCCUCAUUCAUCCUUCUAAUUUCUUCACUUUAUUCCACGAUAAACAUCAAUCUAUACAACAAUGUUAGACAAUUCAUGAUCCGACAACACUUAUCACAAGCUGAAGUCGUUGCCUUCUACAUGGGGUUCUCUAAUCUAUUCACCAUUAAGCUUCAUCACAGUAGCAGAUUCACCCGAUUUCUAGAUAUGGCUUAUGUUGAAGAAAACUGCAAUUUUAUUGACUUGCAAGAUGAAGAUAAGUUCUCUGUGCAUAAACUGGAUUGUAUCGUGGACAAAUUUGGCCUUUUAAAGAACGUUGAAAGGUAUUAUCACUUUCUUGUUCCCGGUGAGAAUCUUGAUUUGGACUAAGGGCUUUGGGGAGUGAUGCAGAUGUUUUAGCUUUUCUCAAAGUUGUUCCUGAGUCUAGGGUUAUGAAUGUGUAUUGUCAGUAUGCUAUAACAACUAUGCAUACGUUUUUCUGCUCCCCAACCAAGCUUAGGGUGUAAGAAAUAACUGAUGAGGAGAUCAUGGCAAUGGAAAACAUCAAGCCAGUAAGAAUAGGUUAUUGUUAGGAUGGAAUGGAAAUGAGAAUGAAGUAGGACAGAGUAGUGUUCAUUAUGAAACAGGACAUAGUAGUGCUCAACCUUUUGGGAAUGGAACUGACAAUGACAAUGACAUAGAAGAUAGUGUUCAACUAGAAACAGGACAUAGUCAUGCUCAAAAUGAAGUAGGAAAAAGUAGCGUUCAUUAUGAAAUUGAUGUUACAAUUGAUGAUCUUGAGUUUGACCCAUUCUUUGGUGAGAAUCCUGUGAAUCAAAGUGAUAAUGUGCAACAUAACUUGAAUGAUGGGGCUGUGAAUCAAAGUGAUAGUGUUCAACAGAACUUGAAUGAUGUGGUUGUGAAUCGAAGUGAGAAUGAUGUGGAUGUUAAUACUAAUCAAGAAGAUGGGGAACAUAAUACCGGUAAGGAUGAUGAUAGUAUGUAUAUGUCUAUAUAUGUGAUCAACAUAACUAACUUAAUUCUAUGAAUGUUUUGAAUACUAGUUACAUGAUGGUGGACCCAUAAAUUA